RNAcentral lists this ribosomal RNA (253 nucleotides) under uncultured bacterium. RNAcentral's name for it is "partial 16S ribosomal RNA". It matches the Rfam family "Bacterial small subunit ribosomal RNA", at positions 524 to 776 of the family's 1533-position model. The record is from RNAcentral.
UACGUAGGGUCCAAGCGUUAUCCGGAAUCACUGGGCGUAAAGCGUGCGUAGGCGGGCGUUUAAGUGAGUUGUUAAAUCGUGUGGCUCAACCAUAUCGAUGCAAUUCAUACUGGACUCCUAGAGGAGGGCAGAGGCAAGUGGAAUUUGUAGUGUAGCAGUGAAAUGCGUAGAUAUUACAAGGAACACCAAUGGCGAAGGCAGCUUGCUGGGCCUUUUCUGACGCUGAGGUACGAAAGCGUGGGGAGCGAACAGG